Molecule: transfer RNA, 80 nt
Filed under: Akkermansia sp.
Lineage: Bacteria; Pseudomonadati; Verrucomicrobiota; Verrucomicrobiia; Verrucomicrobiales; Akkermansiaceae
Also listed under: 1 other name
Description: tRNA-Leu
Rfam family: tRNA
About the family: Transfer RNA (tRNA) molecules are approximately 80 nucleotides in length. Their secondary structure includes four short double-helical elements and three loops (D, anti-codon, and T loops).
Source: RNAcentral
GCCGGCUUGGCGGAAUUGGUAGACGCGCUCGACUCAAAAUCGAGUUCGAAAGAGUGUGGGUUCGAGUCCCACAGCCGGUA